Molecule: ribosomal RNA, 498 nt
Filed under: bacterium enrichment culture clone ALO1_GLFRUDD03GIEGY
Lineage: Bacteria
Description: bacterial SSU rRNA
Rfam family: Bacterial small subunit ribosomal RNA
Source: RNAcentral
GAGUUUGAUCUUGGCUCAGAUUGAACGCUGGCGGCAGGCCUAACACAUGCAAGUCGAGCGGAUGACGGGAGCUUGCUCCUUGAUUCAGCGGCGGACGGGUGAGUAAUGCCUAGGAAUCUGCCUGGUAGUGGGGGACAACGUUUCGAAAGGAACGCUAAUACUGCAUACGUCCUACGGGAGAAAGCAGGGGACCUUCGGGCCUUGCGCUAUCAGAUGAGCCUAGGUCGGAUUAGCUAGUUGGUGGGGUAAUGGCUCACCAAGGCGACGAUCCGUAACUGGUCUGAGAGGAUGAUCAGUCACACUGGAACUGAGACACGGUCCAGACUCCUACGGGAGGCAGCAGUGGGAAUAUUGGACAAUGGGCGAAAGCCUGAUCCAGCCAUGCCGCGUGUGUGAAGAAGGUCUUCGGAUUGUAAAGCACUUUAAGUGGGAGGAAGGCAGUAAGUUAAUACCUUGCUGUUUGACGUUACCGACAGAAUAAGCACCGGCUAACUCUGU